CAUCUAAACUCAAAGAUUUAUCGCCUAAGGAUGAGUCUGCGGACUAUCAGGUUGUAGUCAGGGUAAUGGCCUGACUACCCUACAACGGAUACGGGUUGUGAGAGCAAUAACCCGGAGACGAUAUCUGAGACACGAUAUCGGGCCCUACGGGGCGCAGCAGGAGCGAAACCUUCACACUGUGCGAAAGCGCGAUGAGGGGAUCCCAAGUGCUUGCUCUUAGGAGUAAGCUGUUUUCCUGUUUAAAUCGCAGGAAGAGGAAGGGCUGGGAAAGACGGGUGCCACCCGCCGCGAUAAUACCUGCAACUCAAGGGAUGACCGCUAUUAUUGGGCCUAAAACGUCCGUACCCGGCUGAAUAAAUGCCUGGGUAAAUCGUGUCGCUUAACGAAACUAAUUCCGGGAAGACUGCUCAGCUUGGGACCGGAAGAAUAUAGAGGUACUCCUGGGGUAGAGGUUAAAUUCUGUACUCCUGGGGGGACCACCAGUGGCGAAGGCGCCUAGCUAGAACGGGUCUGACGGUGAGAAACCAAACCCUGGG
Molecule: ribosomal RNA, 536 nt
Filed under: uncultured archaeon
Lineage: Archaea
Description: bacterial SSU rRNA
Rfam family: Archaeal small subunit ribosomal RNA
Source: RNAcentral